AGGGAUUUAGCUCAGCGGCAUAAGCGCCUGCCUUGAAAGCAGGCAGUCGUGAGUUCAAUCCCCG
Molecule: transfer RNA, 64 nt
Filed under: Cavia porcellus (domestic guinea pig)
Lineage: Eukaryota; Metazoa; Chordata; Mammalia; Rodentia; Caviidae
Rfam family: tRNA
About the family: Transfer RNA (tRNA) molecules are approximately 80 nucleotides in length. Their secondary structure includes four short double-helical elements and three loops (D, anti-codon, and T loops).
Source: Rfam by way of RNAcentral